GGCUGUAGUAUGUUCCAAGGGUUGGGCUGUUCACCCAUUAAAGCGGUACGUAAGCUGGGUUCAGAACGUCGUGAGACAGUUUAGUCCAUAUCUGGUGUGGGCGUUAGAGCAUUGAGAGGACCUUUCCCUAGUACGAAAGGACUGGGAAGGACCCACCUCUGGUGUACCAGUUAUCGUGCCCACGGUAAACACUGGGUAGCCAAGUGCGGAGUGGAUAACUGCUGAAAGCAUCUAAGUAGUAAGCCCACCCCAAGAUGAGUGCUCU
Molecule: non-coding RNA, 265 nt
Filed under: Gossypium arboreum
Lineage: Eukaryota; Viridiplantae; Streptophyta; Magnoliopsida; Malvales; Malvaceae
Description: Bacterial large subunit ribosomal RNA
Rfam family: Bacterial large subunit ribosomal RNA
Source: Rfam by way of RNAcentral